CAUCGCCUCUUGCAUCCCAAAGUAUAAGAGGUCCCACCUGCCCUGUGACUCUAAGUUUAACGGCCGCGGUAUUCUAACCGUGCGAAGGUAGCGCAAUCAAUUGCCUUUUAAAUGAAGGCCUGUAUGAAUGGUAUAACGAGGGUCUGACUGUCUCUUUUUUCUAGUCAGUUAAACUGAUCUGUCCGUGCAGAAGCGGACAUUAUUAUACAAGACGAGAAGACCCUAUGGAGCUUUAGACACUAGCCAACUGUGAAUGAGCGACUGAACUAUACAAGUCUUAAAUACCCACAGCCUCUGGUAAUGUAGUCUUAGGUUGGGGCGACCACGGGAGAAAAUAAAGCUCCCAAGCAGACCGGGAAAACCCUUAAGCCCAGAGUUGCAACUCUAAGCCGCAAAAAUUUUGACUGAAAUGAUCCGGUUGAAAAACCGAUUAACGAACCAAGUUACCCUAGGGAUAACAGCGCAAUCCUCUCCCAGAGUCCCUAUCGACGAGGGGGUUUACGACCUCGAUGUUGGAUCAGGACAUCCUAAUGGUGCAGCCGCUAUUAAGGGUUCGUUUGUUCAACGAUUAAAGUCCUACGUGA
RNAcentral lists this ribosomal RNA (584 nucleotides) under Engraulis mordax (northern anchovy). RNAcentral's name for it is "partial 16S ribosomal RNA". It matches the Rfam family "Bacterial large subunit ribosomal RNA", at positions 1814 to 2603 of the family's 2925-position model. Lineage: Eukaryota; Metazoa; Chordata; Actinopteri; Clupeiformes; Engraulidae. The record is from RNAcentral.